This 108-nucleotide unclassified non-coding RNA is filed under the name uncultured Cryptococcus. Its description in RNAcentral is "sequence contains ITS1". The record is from RNAcentral. Lineage: Eukaryota; Fungi; Basidiomycota; Tremellomycetes.
UUGAUUGGUCGAAAGACCUUAUCAGAUUCUACCACCUCUGUGAACCGUUGACCUCCGGGUCGAUAAUCAAACAUCAGUGUAAUGAACGUAUAUUAUCUUAACGAAACA